Molecule: long non-coding RNA, 3331 nt
Organism: Cyprinus carpio carpio
Lineage: Eukaryota; Metazoa; Chordata; Actinopteri; Cypriniformes; Cyprinidae
Source: Ensembl
AAAUAAGACAACUUUUUAAAGAAAUGUUAAGAAAGACUGUAUAAAUAUAAUUUUGAGUACAAUGAGCGAGAGGGCAGCUGAUUGGCUGUUCGACAUAAUGUUAGUUGUUUCUGUUUAUGGCAGAGGGGAGUAGCCUAUAAAAGCUUGUUAAUCACAAACAAGGUCUAACCACUCACACAUUACCACCUGGACCAGGACCUCCCUUGUCUUGAACAUCAUGUUCAAGAUUUUGGUUUUUGCAUUGCCCAUAGCAGCUCAGCUGUUAUUUACUUCUGCACAGACCACCACACAAAGUAAAACUACAACCAUAAACAGCAUGCCCACUGCAACCACAAUAGCAACAACAGCACCUGCAACAACAAUGACAAGACCAGCAGCAACAACAACACCAGCAACAACAACAACAACAAUGGUUAGACCUGCAACAACAACACCAGCAACAACAACAACACCUGCAGCAGCAGCAGCAAGCACAAUGACAACAAUACCAGCAACAGCAACAACACCAUCAGCAGCAGCAGCAACAACAACAACAACACCAGCAACAAUAAAAUCAACAGCAACAGCAACAGCAACAACAACACCAGCAGCAACAGCAACAAUGGCAAGACCAGAAACAGCAACAAUGACAAGACCAGCAACAACAGCAGCAGCAGCAGCAGCAUCAACAACAAUAACAACAACUCCAGCAACAACAACAAUACCAGCAACAACAACAACAACAGCAGCAGCAGCAGCAACAACAACAGCAACAACAACACCAGCAGCAACAGCAACACCAACAACAGCAGCAGCAGCAGCAGCAGCAGCAGCAACAACAACAGCAACAACACCAGCAACAACAACAAUGACAAGAGCAGCAGCAGCAACAACAACAACAACAACAACAACAACAACAACAACACAACCAGCAACAACAACAACAACACCAGCAGCAAUAAAAUCAACUCCAACAACAACAACACCUGCAGCAGAAAAAACAGCAGCAGCAGCAGCAGCAGCAACAAUAAAAUCAACUCCAACAGCAAAAGCAACAACACCACCACCAACAAUAAAAUCAACACCAACAACAACAACACCUGCAGCGGCAGCAAGCACAACAACAACACAACCAACAACAACAACACCUGCAGCAGCAGCAGCAGCAGCAGCAGCAGCAGCAGCAGCAACAGCAACAACAACAACAACAACAACAAACAACCAGCAACAACAACAACAACACCAGCAACAAUAAAAUCAACUCCAACAGCAAAAGCAACAACACCAACAACAACAACAACGGCAAGACCAGAAACAACAACAACAACACCUGCAGCAGCAGCAGCAGCAGCAGAAACAGCAGCAGCAACAACAACAACAACAACAACAACACAACCAGCAACAACAACAACAACAACACCAGCAACAAUAAAAUCAACUCCAACAGAAACAGCAACAACACCACCACCAACAACAACGGCAAGACCAGAAACAGCAACAACAACACCUGCAGCAGCAGCAGAAACACCAGCAGCAGCAGCAACAACAACAACACAACCAGCAACAGCAGCAAAAACAACAACAACACCAGCAACAAUAAAAUCAACACCAACAACACCUGCAGCAGCAGCAAGCACAACAACAACACAACCAACAACAACAACACCUGCAGCAGCAGCAGAAACAGCAGCAGCAGCAACAACAACAACGACGACGACGACGACAACAACAACAACAACAACAACAACAACAACACAACCAGCCACAACAACAACAACACCAGCAACAAUAAAAUCAACUCCAACAGCAAAAGCAACAACACCACCAACAACAACGGCAAGACCAGAAACAGCAACAACAACACCUGCAGCAGCAGCAGAAACAACAGCAGCAGCAGCAACAACAACACAACCAGCAACAGCAGCAAAAACAACAACAACACCAGCAACAAUAAAAUCAACACCAACAGCAACAGCAACAACAACACCAGCAGCAACAUCAACAAUGGCAAGACCAGAAACAGCAACAAUGACAAGACCAGCAACAACAGCAGCAGCAGCAGCAUCAACAACAACAACAACUCCAGCAGCAACAACAACAAUGGCAACAACAACAGCAGCAGCAUCAACAACAACAAUGGCAAGACCAGCAACAACAACAACUACAACACCUGCAGCAGCAGCAAGAACAACAACAACAAUACCAGCAACAGCAACAACAACAGCAGCAGCAGCAGCAGUAGAAACAGCAGCAGCAGCAGCAACAACAACACAACCAGCAACAACAACAACAACACCACCAGCAACAAUAAAAUCAACACCAACAGCAAAAGCAACAACAACACCAGCAACAACAACAACAACAGAAAGAUCAGAAACAGCAACAACAACAAUGACAAGACCAGCAACACCACCAACAGCAGCAGCAGCAACAACAACAACAAUAGCAGCAGCAGCAGCAACAACACCAGCAACAACAACGACAAGAGCAGCAGUAACAACAACAAUAGCAGCAACAACAGUAGCAGCAGCAACAACAAUAGCAGGAACAACAACAACGGAAGCAAUAGCAGCAGCAACAACAACAGUAGCAGCAGCAACAAUAACAACAACAAAAACAGUAGCAGUAGCAACAAAAACAACAGCAACAACUAUAGUAGCAGCAACAACAACAACAACAGUAGCAACAACACUGAUAACUACACCAAAAAACAGUCCCACAAACCAAAUUCCCAACCUCAGGGCUUCAUUUGGUCUAUUGUUCCUGCCAGUGUCUGUGUACCUGUGGUGGCAAUGCUAAUUGGUGGUCUCUGAUGGUCUGGAAAAAUGAGUAACCAUCUGAAAUCAAGAGCCACUACAUUCAGGAAAAAUAAUUUAGCUUGUUCAUUUCACUUCUGUAUAUAUGAUAAGAACAUUAUUUUUUCUUCCUUUUCUUUUUAAUUAUACUUUCUAAUAAACAAUAAAAUAAUUGUGAGAAAAAAUGAAUAAAUAGUACUUGAAACACACAAAUAAUAUAAUUCAUUUUAUAAGGACAUAGAAUAACUAAUUUCAAUAAAUAAAUAAACAUGACUGUAUGUAAAUUAUUUUCACUUACACAUAUUCUUAUUCUGAUGCUAAUGACAAAACUCUAAACUUUAAGCUUCCAGACCCAGGCAUUUUCAUGAAAGAUGAAUUGUCUACAUAUAGUUCAACUUCCUUGUGGUGAAGGUCAGCACUGUCACAGUAUAAUUUGCAUGGCAAAAAUGGAAUUACACGACAUGUUUCAAAAGAAAAACAUUUAUGUUUUAUGUGCUGUAGCUAUACUCACUCCAAAACAGCAUUUACAGCAGAAUUGUAAAGUUUUAUAAAAAAAC